AUGGAAUAUCGGCUAGUAAACUCGGAGAGCCUUCCAAACGCGAGGUCCUCUGAGGAGUCUGAAGACACAUCCAGGCUGCGCUACAGGACCUAUCAGAUUAGACGCACAGCAGCCCCUGUGGAUCAUCCUGUUUCCCGCCACCUCACGAGCACUCGAUACCAACUUCUAGAUUUUGCUGCUGCUGAAGCUGUGGCGAUAGGUAUUCGUUUCCUGUUUGGAUUGAUUGUCGGAGAUUUUCCAAUUGGUUGUAUGAUCUCUAGGACUAUAGGAUUGUAGGAUUGGUAGGAUCAUGGAUAGUUAAGGCUUUCGGCGUGCAGACAUUUCUAUUUGAUCACAUUUAUAACCUUGUCUUCUAUGAUUUCUGUAUUUGGGGCCUUGGACAUCCCCGCUUCAAAAGCAGAAAAGAAAGAAAGAAAGGAAAAACUCGAUUGUGGCUGUCGACCAAGAGGAGAGGCUAGAAAGCAACCAAAUGCAUUUAUUUGGGGCCUUCGGGAUUGUAAUCCCCAAGGGACAAGGCAUGGCGUUGACCAAAAUUGGAAGUGUCCUCCCCAAUUUUGAGAGGGGAGUGCAGGCUUAUAAAGGUUCAAAAGCCACAAGGUUACAAAACUUGUUUUAAAAGAAUUGUGAUUGGUGCUACAGAGUUUGAAUUCCCUAACGCGAUGGGCGGCUCAGCUAACAGGCGUUACAUCCUCUUUAUUUCCGUCCAAAUUAGAAGGAUGUGUUCCAGGAGGUGGUCCAGGUAGAACGGACAGGUUGCAAAUGACAAAAAUCAAGAGUUUGUGGUGUUCCAAGAGUUGAAACGGGAGAAGCCAGAGGCCCUGCUUCCUCAGUAUCUUCCCCACCCUAUUGUAAAUGACUCAACAAUGUUCACUUCACUUAGGCAUCUUCUUCCACACUUUUCUUCUUUUCUUUAAGUUUAUUUAUUUCGAGAGAGAGACAGCGGGGGAGGAGCAGAGAGAGAAGGAGAAAGAGAAUCCAAAGGAGGCUCCAAACUAUCCGCGCAAAGCCCAGCACGGGGCUCGAUCAUACGAACCGUGAGAUCACGACCUGAGCCAAAAUCAAGAGUCGGAUGCUUAACCGACUGAGCCACCCAGGCGCCCCUUUCUUCUAAUACUUAUAUUAUUAUUCCUUUAGUUGUGUUGUUGUUUACCUUUAGCUGCAUUUCAUUAGAUACAAGAAAUGAGGUAGAACUCCAAGCUUACAUUUUCCAAACAGCUACCUGGUUAUCUUAAUACCAUUUAUUGAAUAAUCUGUCUUUUUCAUUGUUCAAAGAACAAUUUUAUUUUUUCAUUUGCAAUAUAGUUAUAUAUUAUUUCCUUUCCUUUUUUUUUUGAGUUUCGAGAGUUCUUUAUAUAAUCUAAUACAAGGCCGUUAUCAAAUACGCAGCAUGCAAAUAUUUCCCCCUAGUCUGUGACUUGUCUUUUCUCUUCUCAACAGUGUCUUUUCAGGAGCGCCUGGGUAACUCAGUUGGUUAAGCACCUGACUCUUUUUUUUUCCUUUUUUUGAGAGAGAGAGAGGGGGGGCGCAAGUGAGUGAGGGGCAGAGAGAGAGAGAGAGAGAGAGAAGCGGGUCUCAUCCAAAGGGGGGCUUGAGCUCACUCCAUGUGGGACUCAAACUCACGAACUGAGCUGUGAGGUCAUGACCUGAUCCGAAGUCAGAUGCUUAACCACUCAGCCACCCGGGCACCCCUGACUCUUGAUCUCAGCUCAGGUCUUGAUCUCGGGGUCAUGAGUUCAAGCCCUACGUUAGGCUGAGCGCGGAGCCUCCUUAAAAAAACAAACAAGGGGUGCCUGGGUGGCUCAGUUAGUUAAGCAACCAACUCUUGGUUUCCGCUCGGGUCGUGAUCUUGGUGUUCGUGGGAUCGAACUCUGUGUCCCGCCCCACACUGACAGCACGGAGCCUGCUUGGGAUUCUCUCUCCCACUCCCUCUCUGCCCCACUCCCAUGCUCGCUCACUCUGUCUCUCUCAAAAAUAAAUAAACUUGAAAAAAUUUUAAAACA
Molecule: long non-coding RNA, 2000 nt
Filed under: Felis catus (domestic cat)
Lineage: Eukaryota; Metazoa; Chordata; Mammalia; Carnivora; Felidae
Description: lncRNA (ENSFCAG00000052567.1)
Source: RNAcentral